RNAcentral lists this ribosomal RNA (533 nucleotides) under Bifidobacterium pseudocatenulatum. RNAcentral describes it as "bacterial SSU rRNA". It matches the Rfam family "Bacterial small subunit ribosomal RNA", at positions 164 to 707 of the family's 1533-position model. The record is from RNAcentral. Lineage: Bacteria; Bacillati; Actinomycetota; Actinomycetes; Bifidobacteriales; Bifidobacteriaceae.
UAAUGCCGGAUGCUCCGACUCCUCGCAUGGGGUGUCGGGAAAGAUUUCAUCGGUAUGGGAUGGGGUCGCGUCCUAUCAGGUAGUCGGCGGGGUAACGGCCCACCGAGCCUACGACGGGUAGCCGGCCUGAGAGGGCGACCGGCCACAUUGGGACUGAGAUACGGCCCAGACUCCUACGGGAGGCAGCAGUGGGGAAUAUUGCACAAUGGGCGCAAGCCUGAUGCAGCGACGCCGCGUGCGGGAUGACGGCCUUCGGGUUGUAAACCGCUUUUGAUCGGGAGCAAGCCUUCGGGUGAGUGUACCUUUCGAAUAAGCACCGGCUAACUACGUGCCAGCAGCCGCGGUAAUACGUAGGGUGCAAGCGUUAUCCGGAAUUAUUGGGCGUAAAGGGCUCGUAGGCGGUUCGUCGCGUCCGGUGUGAAAGUCCAUCGCUUAACGGUGGAUCUGCGCCGGGUACGGGCGGGCUGGAGUGCGGUAGGGGAGACUGGAAUUCCCGGUGUAACGGUGGAAUGUGUAGAUAUCGGAAAGAGAAC